This 85-nucleotide transfer RNA is filed under the name Desulfarculus baarsii DSM 2075. RNAcentral's name for it is "tRNA-Leu (GAG) (tRNA-Leu-GAG-1-1)". It matches the Rfam family "tRNA". From Rfam's summary of the family: Transfer RNA (tRNA) molecules are approximately 80 nucleotides in length. Lineage: Bacteria; Pseudomonadati; Thermodesulfobacteriota; Desulfarculia; Desulfarculales; Desulfarculaceae. The record is from RNAcentral.
GCCGUGGUGGUGGAAAUGGUAGACACGCCGUCUUGAGGGGGCGGUGGGGAGACCCGUGCCGGUUCAAAUCCGGCCCACGGCACCA